Long non-coding RNA from Penaeus monodon (black tiger shrimp), 473 nucleotides. RefSeq lists it as uncharacterized. The record is from RefSeq and is a predicted model, not a curated record. The transcript is spliced from 3 exons. NCBI's taxonomy places the organism in Eukaryota, Metazoa, Arthropoda, Malacostraca, Decapoda, Penaeidae.
GUUGAUGCUGUUAUGCCCUCAUUACAAGUGGAUGGGAAUUUGUGUGAGUUGCGACCCCUCAGCAGCAGCAACCCAACGUUAGCACUCCACAAUGCACAUUGGCAUCCCUCUGCUUCCCGACCUCAUAGCUAUUCUGAUACUUCAUCAGCUAUAGUUGGAGGUGUACAGCUUCCAAAUACACCUUCACCUACAUCUCAGUCUCACCAGACAGCCCAUCCCCCAGCAAUCACUCUGUCAUGGAGAGUUCUACAAGGGAAGACUUCACUAUUUUAGCAAAAGAAGUUGUGAGCCAGUUGGGGCAAUUACUGCGUGGAAUCCAGACAGAACGAGAAAAGUUGCGACAGGCUCUAGAGUCUGAGUCAAACUUAUUGGCGUCUCACAAUACCACAGCCAUUAUUGCUGCACUGAGAAAUAGUCUCAAUCAGGUAAGUUUUUUUAAAAUUUACAAAUCUUGAUUCAUUCUCUCUCUCUCU